UAGCCGUAAACGAUACUCGCUAGGUGUCGGCCACGGUGCGACCGUUGUCGGUGCCGUAGGGAAGCCGUGAAGCGAGCCACCUGGGAAGUACGGCCGCAAGGCUGAAACUUAAAGGAAUUGGCGGGGGAGCACAACAACGGGUGGANCUUGCGGUUUAAUUGGAUUCAACGCCGGAAAUCUUACCGGGACCGACAGCAACAUGAAGGCCAAGCUGAAGACUUUGCCGGAUUAGCUGAGAGGUGGUGCAUGGCGUAGUCGUGU
This 261-nucleotide ribosomal RNA is filed under the name uncultured archaeon. Its description in RNAcentral is "partial 16S ribosomal RNA". It matches the Rfam family "Archaeal small subunit ribosomal RNA", at positions 748 to 1009 of the family's 1478-position model. The record is from RNAcentral.